AGAGUUUGAUCCUGGCUCAGAUUGAACGCUGGCGGCAGGCCUAACACAUGCAAGUCGAACGGUAACAGGAAGAAGCUUGCUUCUUUGCUGACGAGUGGCGGACGGGUGAGUAAUGUCUGGGAAACUGCCUGAUGGAGGGGGAUAACUACUGGAAACGGUAGCUAAUACCGCAUAACGUCGCAAGACCAAAAAGGGGGACCUUCGGGCCUCUUGCCAUCGGAUGUGCCCAGAUGGGAUUAGCUAGUAGGUGGGGUAACGGCUCACCUAGGCGACGAUCCCUAGCUGGUCUGAGAGGAUGACCAGCCACACUGGAACUGAGACACGGUCCAGACUCCUACGGGAGGCAGCAGUGGGGAAUAUUGCACAAUGGGCGCAAGCCUGAUGCAGCCAUGCCGCGUGUAUGAAGAAGGCCUUCGGGUUGUAAAGUACUUUCAGCGGGGAGGAAGGGAGUAAAGUUAAUACCUUUGCUCAUUGACGUUACCCGCAGAAGAAGCACCGGCUAACUCCGUGCCAGCAGCCGCGGUAAUACGGAGGGUGCAAGCGUUAAUCGGAAUUACUGGGCGUAAAGCGCACGCAGGCGGUUUGUUAAGUCAGAUGUGAAAUCCCCGGGCUCAACCUGGGAACUGCAUCUGAUACUGGCAAGCUUGAGUCUCGUAGAGGGGGGUAGAAUUCCAGGUGUAGCGGUGAAAUGCGUAGAGAUCUGGAGGAAUACCGGUGGCGAAGGCGGCCCCCUGGACGAAGACUGACGCUCAGGUGCGAAAGCGUGGGGAGCAAACAGGACUAGAUACCCUGGUAGUCCACGCCGUAAACGAUGUCGACUUGGAGGUUGUGCCCUUGAGGCGUGGCUUCCGGAGCUAACGCGUUAAGUCGACCGC
This 875-nucleotide ribosomal RNA is filed under the name uncultured Gammaproteobacteria bacterium. RNAcentral describes it as "bacterial SSU rRNA". It matches the Rfam family "Bacterial small subunit ribosomal RNA", at positions 8 to 872 of the family's 1533-position model. The record is from RNAcentral. Lineage: Bacteria; Pseudomonadati; Pseudomonadota; Gammaproteobacteria.